Molecule: unclassified non-coding RNA, 242 nt
Filed under: Hevea brasiliensis (rubber tree)
Lineage: Eukaryota; Viridiplantae; Streptophyta; Magnoliopsida; Malpighiales; Euphorbiaceae
Source: RNAcentral
CAAAAAUUCACAUGAAUCAAAAGUCCAUAUAUAUUAUUGGAAAAAUUAUUCAGUGGAUGGAAUGUAACGUGUCAAAUACAACGAGCCUGAUAUUUUUUUUGGUGUGGGAGAGCAGAGCUCAAGAAAAGAAACAGCUAACAAGCACGCUGGAAGGAGACUCCCAUCGAAUCAUGAGGAAGAAGAGAAAGUAAAUCAGCUGGAGUGUGAUCCAUCCAAGCCUUGAUUCAUCCGUAGAAAUGUGG